CAGUCGCCACGGUAAUACCAGCACCUCGAGUGGUCAGGAGGUUUAUUGGGCCUAAAGCAUCCGUAGCCGGUUGCAUAAGUUUUCGGUUAAAUCUAUGCGCUUAACGUAUAGGCCGCCGAAAAUACUGUGCAGCUAGGGAGUGGGAGAGGUACACGGUACUCGAUAGGAAGGGGUAAAAUCCUUUGAUCUAUUGAUGACCACCUGUGGCGAAGGCGGUGUACCAGAACACGUUCGACGGUGAGGGAUGAAAGCUGGGGGAGCAAACCGGAUUAGAUACCCCCGUAGUCCCUGUCUCUUAUAC
This 301-nucleotide ribosomal RNA is filed under the name uncultured bacterium. RNAcentral's name for it is "partial 16S ribosomal RNA". It matches the Rfam family "Archaeal small subunit ribosomal RNA", at positions 459 to 760 of the family's 1478-position model. The record is from RNAcentral.